ACGAACGCUGGCGGCGUGCUUAACACAUGCAAGUCGAACGGUUAAGCGCCUUCCUUUUUGGUGGGUGUGGAUGAGUGGCGAACGGGUGAGUAACACGUGAGUAACCUGCCCCCUUCUUCUGGAUAACCGCAUGAAAGUGUGGCUAAUACGGGAUAUUCUGGGUCUGUCGCAUGAUGGGUCUGGGAAAGAUAUUGUUUCGGUGGGGGAUGGGCUCGCGGCCUAUCAGCUUGUUGGUGGGGUGAUGGCCUACCCAGGCGGUGACGGGUAGCCGGCCUGAGAGGGUGGACGGUCACACUGGGACUGAGACACGGCCCAGACUCCUACGGGAGGCAGCAGUGGGGAAUAUUGCACAAUGGGCGCAAGCCUGAUGCAGCGACGCCGCGUGAGGGAUGGAGGCCUUCGGGUUGUGAACCUCUUUCGCCAGUGAAGCAGGCCUGCCUCGUUUGUGGGUGGGUUGACGGUAGCUGGAUAAGAAGCGCCGGCUAACUACGUG
Molecule: ribosomal RNA, 493 nt
Filed under: uncultured bacterium
Lineage: Bacteria
Description: partial 16S ribosomal RNA
Rfam family: Bacterial small subunit ribosomal RNA
Source: RNAcentral